RNAcentral lists this ribosomal RNA (445 nucleotides) under uncultured bacterium. Its description in RNAcentral is "SSU rRNA". It matches the Rfam family "Bacterial small subunit ribosomal RNA", at positions 26 to 518 of the family's 1533-position model. The record is from RNAcentral.
AGAACGAACGCUGGCGGCAGGCUUAACACAUGCAAGUCGAGCGCUGUAGCAAUACAGAGCGGCAGACGGGUGAGUAACGCGUGGGAACAUACCCUCCGGUUCGGAAUAACUCAGGGAAACUUGAGCUAAUACCGAAUACGGUCGAGAGGCGAAAGAUUUAUCGCCGGAGGAUUGGCCCGCGUUCGAUUAGCUAGUUGGCGGGGUAAUGGCCCACCAAGGCGACGAUCGAUAGCUGGUCUGAGAGGAUGAUCAGCCACAUUGGGACUGAGACACGGCCCAAACUCCUACGGGAGGCAGCAGUGGGGAAUAUUGGACAAUGGGCGCAAGCCUGAUCCAGCCAUGCCGCGUGAGUGAUGACGGCCUUAGGGUGUAAGCUCUUUCGCUAGGGACGAUAAUGACGGUACCUAGACAAGAACGCCCCGGCUAACUUCGUGCCAGCAGCCGC